Long non-coding RNA from Oncorhynchus kisutch (coho salmon), 2310 nucleotides. RefSeq lists it as uncharacterized. NCBI's taxonomy places the organism in Eukaryota, Metazoa, Chordata, Actinopteri, Salmoniformes, Salmonidae. The record is from RefSeq and is a predicted model, not a curated record. The transcript is spliced from 6 exons.
UUACAACCAUGUAUGUAGCUACACUCAUUGUUAAACGGAGCUAAAGUAAGACGUUUUAUAUCUUUAAGUACCUACCAUGAUACCGACACAGACCAGGCAUGCAGCUAUUCCUGUAAAUCCACCAUGGCUACUCCCACCUCCAGAGGUUGAUCUACUAGUGUUGGAGAGACUACAGAAAGAUAGGGAGGGUGUUAAUCCAUCUGGAUACUGUGUAUCAGGAUUUUGUGGCCAUUUACACAGAUGGUUUCAAAGAUCCAAGAACAGGACAUACUGGGUCAGCAUUUGUAGUGCAGGAACGUAUUACAGAUCAUCUGGCUGUAUAUACGGCUGAGCUGAUGGCCAUACUGUUGGCUUUGCAGUGGGUGGCGGAAGUCAAGCCAGACAGAGUAGUUAUUUUCUGUGAUUGAUGUGAGGUGUUGAUGAGUCAGCAGUCCUUUAGCUCAUGUAGCAGACAAUACCUGCUUUAUGAGGUACUACAAACUCAUGGCACUAUUAGACAGAUGGGUAUACAUAUCAGAUUCACUUGGGUCCCAGUCCAUGUGGGGGUGUAGGGGAAUGAGGCAGUUGAUGUUGUGGCUAAACAAGCACUUAGUAGUUGGGAUGUUAUAGUUUCAAUGAGCAAGGCAGAAGCAAAAAGCCUGAUAUUGACAGUGAUGGUGCCACAAUGGCAGGAGCAGUGGAAUAGAGCUAUGAAGGACAGGGAUUUAUUUCAAGUACAGAGGAAAGUCUGGGACGGGAGGACAGCAUGAAGGGGCAGAAGAGAAGGGUGGGACACAACUGAUUGAAUAAGACUUUAAAAGGGAUAGGAAAACAUCCAACAGGAAAGUGUGAUUAUUGCCAGGAAACAGACCGUGGAGCAUGCAUUGCUACAGUGUGGCAGUAUCAGAAGGAAAAGGAGAGGAUGAGAGCUAGUAUGAGGGAGAAGGAGAUACAGGAAAUUCGUUUUAAAAGUAUAUUGAGUAGAACUUCAUUAGUUAUAGUCUCAAAUAAUUUAUAUAUUUUUUAAGAUGAACGGGGCUGGCAGGAUUUAGUUUCUCCCUGUCUCUGGCCCACACUCCAGUACAGUAGGUGGCGGUAAUGCAUCAUGACGAUGAAUUGUGAACCGAAGAUAAACCUUACCGAGGAAGAAGCCCGGGCAUGCGCAAAAAGUGGCGCACCAAGUUCUCGCAUCGAUUUUUCUACAUAGUAUGCUGUCGCCACUCUCUUGCAGUAAUUGUUCUACACAUUUUGAAAAGAAACCAAAAUGUUUCAAAAUAUUACGUAUUUUAUCACUAACAGAUGAGAGGACAGCUUAAGUACUUUUCCCGGACAUUACCCCCUCACUACAGUCCGCAUUUCUGUGUCCAGAUUGUAACAAAACAAGUGCAUGGCAAUGUCAAGGACAAUGACCCAACAUACCUCCAGGCUGUGUAAGGGCUAUUUGACCAAGAAGGAGAGUGAUGGAGUGCUGUAUCAGUUGAGAUAGUUUGGGAUGAGUUGGACCGCAGAGUGAAGGAAAAGCAGCCAACAAGUGCUCAGUAUAUGUGGGAACUCCUCCAAGACUGUUGGAAAAGUAUUCCAGGGGCAGAGGGAAUAAAAUACAUGACUGCACUUAAAUUGCGAAUGGAGGAUGUUUUUCCCAUGUUUCAUUUUGAUGCCAGCCAGGUGAUAUUAGCUAUGCAUCUGGCACUUACCGGCUCUUCAAAUUGCCCAAAAAGCUUGAGAUGUCAAGCGCAAUAGUGACCUACAAGAGAACUGUGUCUGACUACCCUUGUCAGCUGUAGUUUGACUCCUCCCACUGCUUCAAGAAAAACGCUGCAGGUCGACAGGGUUAUCUGUUAUCUUCCAGUGCUCUCUCUUCUCCCAAGACUUCUGCAUCCAGAAGUAUGGCCACCUCAGCCCUUUAAUGCUGUGCUGCUCGGUGAAUCAAUGCUCCAAGACAGGCAAAGCCCCAGUAGCCUGUGGAGAGACCUAACUUAACGACACCUGGAUGACACCAUAUCCAUGAUGGAACCUCUUCAGAGGGCCAGGGUGUAUGGCCCAAUAAUCUUGCCUUCCUGCUGAAGUGUCCAUUCAUUCACUACUUCCCACAAAUCUAAAAGCAUUGGAUUGUUGUUUGCAUAUUUAGAGUGAUAAUUCCCAAGAAGCCGGUGUUUGUUGGAUAUGUUGGCACGGUGUUGUUAGGCCCGAGACCAAAUCGAGGACUGGCAAACCAUGCCAAUAUAUCCAACAAACACCAGCUUUGAGGGCAUUAUCACUUGUACACACACGGGUUACCAACAUAUUCAAAUAAUGAUCGACAUUUUUAAUUAAAAAUGUUAUUCUUAUAAA